GAUGAAGAACGUAGCGAAAUGCGAUAAGUAAUGUGAAUUGCAGAAUUCAGUGAAUCAUCGAAUCUUUGAACGCACCUUGCACCCUUUGGACUGCUCCAAAGGGUAUGCUCGUUUGAGUGUCAUUGUACUCUCACUCUCUCUGAUCCUUUGGAUUUGGGGAGCGGUGGACUUGGGUGCUUGCUGCUUCCUUGUGGCUCACCUGAAAUGCAUCAGUGCAUCUCUCGAUUGGACAUAGUACGGCGUGAUAAGUGUCUUCGCCGGCACCUCAUAUGAGGGUGGCCGAUCGGGAGCUCUGUGCUUUCAAACCGUCUUCGGACAACGCUGACAACUUGACCUCAAAUCGAGUAGGACUACCCGCUGAACUUAAGCAUAUCAAUAAGCGGAGGA
Molecule: unclassified non-coding RNA, 387 nt
Filed under: soil metagenome
Description: partial contains 5.8S ribosomal RNA, internal transcribed spacer 2, and large subunit ribosomal RNA
Rfam family: 5.8S ribosomal RNA (bases 1-122)
Source: RNAcentral